RNAcentral lists this microRNA precursor (110 nucleotides) under Panax ginseng (ginseng). RNAcentral describes it as "miR6135g stem-loop (pgi-MIR6135g)". It matches the Rfam family "MIR6135 microRNA precursor family". The record is from miRBase by way of RNAcentral. Lineage: Eukaryota; Viridiplantae; Streptophyta; Magnoliopsida; Apiales; Araliaceae.
GUUUAUUUUUGAGUAAGUUGGUCAAUUGGCAAAUAGAAUAUUGACACGCAGGCGAAGUUCUGUGUAUUAGCAUUCUAUUGACCAAUUGACUAAUUUACUCAAAAAUAAAC